GAUGUCAAUUUGCCCCGCCCAUCCCCGAAACCGCGGUGCACCGCCCCUAACGGGGCGGUUUUUCCCCGCAAAAACGGGGUGACGGGGCGGGCUUGGGCUUACUCUCUUAGACCCGAAGCGGGGAUGGGCCGGGACCGGGUAUUAAAGACCCCGGCCCGAACCCGGCCCGUAUAUAUUACUUUUUUUUUUAAUAUUUUGAAAAUUAAAAUUAAACUUAUUCGAUUGGUUAUGGGCUGAAAUUAAUGGUAUGAAAAAUUAAAUUUUAUAUUUUUUUGUGUUUAAUAAUUUUUGUAUUUAUUGUUAACUAAUUAAUCUCAAUUUUGUUAGCUUCAUCUUCUUCACUGUAUGUUGGAGCUUGUUCUUCUACUAUGAGUGACAUAGAAAUUGAUGAGGAGCAAUUAACUCUUACGGAACAUUCUUUCAUGGAGACUUAAGGAAAUGAGAAGUAAAACUUUAUUAUGUGUGCAUGUGUAUUUUUAUAAAUUUUAUGUUUAUGUAUUUGGAUUAUAUUAUAUUGUAUUUUUUGAGAAUGUAUGUUAUUAAAAUUAUAAAUUUGAAUUUUGAUAUCUUUUAUUGUA
Ziziphus jujuba (common jujube) is the source of this 578-nucleotide long non-coding RNA. RefSeq lists it as uncharacterized. The record is from RefSeq and is a predicted model, not a curated record. The transcript has 2 exons. NCBI's taxonomy places the organism in Eukaryota, Viridiplantae, Streptophyta, Magnoliopsida, Rosales, Rhamnaceae.